AGAGAGAGACAUGCGUGCAUAUCAAUAAGCGGAGGAAAAGAAACUAACAAGGAUUCCCCUAGUAACGGCGAGUGAAGCGGGAAGAGCUCAAAUUUGAAAUCUUAAAGGGUUUCCCUUUACGAAUUGUAGUUUAAAGAAGUGUUUUCUGUUGAGGUUUUGGUAAAAGUUCUUUGGAAUAGGACAUCAUAGAGGGUGAGAAUCCCGUAUUUGACCUUUACUUUCAACUUUGUGAUACACUUUCAAAGAGUCGGAUUGUUUGGGAAUGCAGUCCAAAAUGGGUGGUAAAUUUCAUCUAAAGCUAAAUAUUGGCGAGAGACCGAUAGCGAACAAGUACCGUGAGGGAAAGAUGAAAGGAACUUUGAAAAGAGAGUUAAACAGUACGUGAAAUUGUCAAAAGGGAAGCGUUUGACACCAGUGUUGUUUUUCUGAAAAUCAAUUAAAGAACUGUUUAUGCUAAGCUGUUUAGACUUUAUCAGCUAACUGUUUAGUUUUGAGCUUUUCUUUAAUGCACUUUUCAGUUAACAAGUCAACAUCAAUUUCUUUUGCUGUAAAAAAGCUUGAGGAAGGUGGCUUGAGAUUCGUCUUAAGUGUUUAUAGCCUCUUGCCUAUGCAGUCGGAGAGAUUGAGGUCUGCAGCGUAGAUCCUUCGGGGCUAAAUACAUUUGUGCUAAGUUAUAGCAUUUUAUAGACAACUUGUUGACUAUGAUUUGUCUUGUAGCUUACUCGCUUAUGUUAUUUUACCUACGCUUAGGAUGUUGACGCAUGAGAUAUACGC
This 774-nucleotide ribosomal RNA is filed under the name uncultured Neocallimastigales. Its description in RNAcentral is "partial large subunit ribosomal RNA". It matches the Rfam family "Eukaryotic large subunit ribosomal RNA", at positions 23 to 647 of the family's 3401-position model. The record is from RNAcentral. Lineage: Eukaryota; Fungi; Neocallimastigomycota; Neocallimastigomycetes; Neocallimastigales.